AACGAACGCUGGCGGAAUGCCUAACACAUGCAAGUCGAACGAGACCUUCGGGUCUAGUGGCGCACGGGUGCGUAACGCGUGGGAACCUGCCCUUAGGUUCGGAAUAACUCCCCGAAAGGGGUGCUAAUACCGGAUAAUGUCUUCGGACCAAAGAUUUAUCGCCUUUGGAUGGGCCCGCGUUGGAUUAGCUAGUUGGUAGGGUAAAAGCCUACCAAGGCGACGAUCCAUAGCUGGUCUGAGAGGAUGAUCAGCCACACUGGGACUGAGACACGGCCCAGACUCCUACGGGAGGCAGCAGUGGGGAAUAUUGGACAAUGGGCGAAAGCCUGAUCCAGCAAUGCCGCGUGAGUGAUGAGGGCCUUAGGGUUGUAAAGCUCUUUUACCCGGGAUGAUAAUGACAGUACCGGGAGAAUAAGCUCCGGCUAACUCCGUG
RNAcentral lists this ribosomal RNA (433 nucleotides) under uncultured bacterium. RNAcentral's name for it is "partial 16S ribosomal RNA". It matches the Rfam family "Bacterial small subunit ribosomal RNA", at positions 29 to 507 of the family's 1533-position model. The record is from RNAcentral.